Molecule: ribosomal RNA, 292 nt
Filed under: Salmonella enterica subsp. enterica serovar Chester
Lineage: Bacteria; Pseudomonadati; Pseudomonadota; Gammaproteobacteria; Enterobacterales; Enterobacteriaceae
Description: partial 23S ribosomal RNA
Rfam family: Bacterial large subunit ribosomal RNA
Source: RNAcentral
GACAGCCAGGAUGUUGGCUUAGAAGCAGCCAUCAUUUAAAGAAAGCGUAAUAGCUCACUGGUCGAGUCGGCCUGCGCGGAAGAUGUAACGGGGCUAAACCAUGCACCGAAGCUGCGGCAGCGACACUCAGGUGUUGUUGGGUAGGGGAGCGUUCUGUAAGCCUGUGAAGGUGGCCUGUGAGGGUUGCUGGAGGUAUCAGAAGUGCGAAUGCUGACAUAAGUAACGAUAAAGCGGGUGAAAAGCCCGCUCGCCGGAAGACCAAGGGUUCCUGUCCAACGUUAAUCGGGGCAGG